UGGGGAAUAUUGGACAAUGGGCGCAAGCCUGAUCCAGCAACGCCGCGUGGAGGAUGAAGGUCUUCGGAUCGUAAACUCCUGUCAGAUGGGACGAAGGUAACGAGGUGAACAAUCUCGUUGUUUGACGGUACCGUCAGAGGAAGCCCCGGCUAACUCCGUGCCAGCAGCCGCGGUAAUACGGAGGGGGCGAGCGUUAUUCGGAAUUAUUGGGCGUAAAGGGCGCGUAGGCGGCCCGAUAAGUCAAAGGUGAAAUCCCUCGGCUCAACUGAGGAACUGCCUUUGAAACCGUCGAGCUCGAGUCCGGGAGGGGGUAGCGGAAUUCCCAGUGUAGCGGUGAAAUGCGUAGAUAUUGGGAGGAACACCAGUGGCGAAGGCGGCUACCUGGACCGGUUCUGACGCUGAUGCGCGAAAGCGUGGGUAGCAAACAGGAUUAGAUACC
RNAcentral lists this ribosomal RNA (439 nucleotides) under uncultured bacterium. RNAcentral describes it as "bacterial SSU rRNA". It matches the Rfam family "Bacterial small subunit ribosomal RNA", at positions 355 to 786 of the family's 1533-position model. The record is from RNAcentral.